Molecule: ribosomal RNA, 356 nt
Filed under: Acidimicrobiaceae bacterium
Lineage: Bacteria; Bacillati; Actinomycetota; Acidimicrobiia; Acidimicrobiales; Acidimicrobiaceae
Description: bacterial SSU rRNA
Rfam family: Bacterial small subunit ribosomal RNA
Source: RNAcentral
UUGACGGAGAGUUUGAUCCUGGCUCAGGACGAACGCUGGCGGCGGGCCUAACACAUGCAAGUCGAACGAACUCGACCUUCGGGUCAUAUAGUGAGUGGCGAACGGGUGAGUAACACGUGAGAAACCUGCCCCGAAGACUGGAACAACCCGAGGAAACUCGGGCUAAUACCGGAUCCCCCCAUCGGAUCGCAUGGUCUGAUGAGGAAAUGCUCCGGCGCUUCGGGAGGGUCUCGCGGCCUAUCAGCUAGUUGGUGAGGUAACGGCUCACCAAGGCAACGACGGGUAGCUGGUCUGAGAGGACGAUCAGCCACACUGGGACUGAGACACGGCCCAGACUCCUACGGGAGGCAGCAGUG